RNAcentral lists this ribosomal RNA (253 nucleotides) under uncultured bacterium. RNAcentral's name for it is "partial 16S ribosomal RNA". It matches the Rfam family "Bacterial small subunit ribosomal RNA", at positions 524 to 776 of the family's 1533-position model. The record is from RNAcentral. RNAcentral also lists the same sequence under 1 other name.
UACGUAGGGGCCGAGCGUUGUCCGGAAUUACUGGGCGUAAAGCGCGCGCAGGCGGCUGAUCAAGCCUGACGUGAAAGCCCCCGGCUCAACCGGGGAGGGUCGUCGGGGACUGGUUGGCUUGAGGGCGGUAGGGGCCGGUGGAAUUCCCGGUGUAGUGGUGAAAUGCGUAGAGAUCGGGAGGAACACCAGUGGCGAAGGCGGCCGGCUGGGCCGACCCUGACGCUGAGGCGCGAAGGCGUGGGGAGCGAACGGG